UGAGCAAUCUGCCCUUCUCAUCGGAAUAAGCGUUGGAAACGACGUCUAAUGCCGAAUACGACCUCCUUUCGCAUGAUCGGAGGUGGAAAGCUCCGGCGGAGAAGGAUGAGCUCGCGGCCUAUCAGCUAGUUGGUGUGGGUAAUGGCUCACCAAGGCGACGACGGGUAGCCGGCCUGAGAGGGUCGACCCGGCCACACGUGGGACUGAGACACCGGCCCAGACCUCCGUAGGGA
This 233-nucleotide ribosomal RNA is filed under the name uncultured bacterium. RNAcentral describes it as "partial 16S ribosomal RNA". It matches the Rfam family "Bacterial small subunit ribosomal RNA", at positions 118 to 346 of the family's 1533-position model. The record is from RNAcentral.